AUAGCAAUAAUAACUCAGCCUUGCCUUGGGGCAGGGUCACUUUCAUAUAAGCCAGUCACUCAGAACCUUGGGGCAAAAGUAGAACAGAGAAUUAAAGCCAGGCAUGGUGAUGCACUUUUAUAUAACCCCAGUGACUCCAGAGGCUGAAGCAGGAGGAUCUCAAGUUCAUGGCCAGCCUGGAUAAUUUAGGGACACCCUGUCUCAAAAAAAAAGUGCUGGGGAUGUGGUUUAGGGGUUAAGUGCCCCUGGGUUCAAUCCCCAUUACCAAAAGAAAAAGAAAAAAAGAAAGAAUUGGGGGAAGUCUUGAGUGGCAUGUCAUGCUCCUCUUUGGAAGACAGAUGCAUGUCUUAUGGAGGUCCUACCGACAGGACAAGGCCAUGGGAGGCAAUAAUGAUGGUGCUUCAGCUCAGGAUGGGAAGUAUUUGUCAAUAGAGUAAGUUGACAGCGGCCGCUAGGCAGACGGCAUAGGCAGCAAGUGCUCCACCAUCUCAAAAAUUCAAGCGGAAAGGAGACCCCCAUCCAACUGGAAUCUCAGAAUCAAUUCUUGCCGUGGGGGCCGGUUGGACUGUUACCCUUUAUCUCUCUUCCAGUUCCAGGUUUCUGCAAUCCAGGUGCUUCAUUAGGGCAGGCCAACCCAUAAUCUCCAUUUCAGAGAUGGGCACUUUCAUGAAAAUCAGCACGCUAUUGCUUUGGGUAUAUUCUGAAUGUUCUCUCUGGCAAGGAAGAGAGUGUAGGUGGAGGAAGGAAGGGUGUGUCUGUGCCUCUCAAUAGAAACUGAUGACAAUUUUACUAAUUGCUGUAUUUAUUAAUGGGUGGCCUUUUAUGUAGGUUGUUUAGAAGGUAAAACAAUGCGAUUAGUCAUAAGGGUUUGCUGCUUCCUGGCUCUCCAAGUCAACGGCCCCAAGCACAGGGCUCCGUCUGCAGCAGGGGAAGAGCAAUUAAGAAACCUGUUCAUUGUGCUCAUUUGCCUUUGUUCCAGGCCUUUGGGAGAUAAAAGUGGUUCUGAGUUUACCAUCUAUCAGAAAUUUCUGUGUUUUGUUUUUCAUGCUAUGUGGUUAUGCUCACUUACAUUCCCUCCUCACCCUCCCCACCCUGCGCCCUUAUCUAUGAUCUGGUAAUAAACACAAAUAUUAGCCUUGAGAAUAAAAAUGUAAGUGGA
Molecule: long non-coding RNA, 1159 nt
Filed under: Marmota monax (woodchuck)
Lineage: Eukaryota; Metazoa; Chordata; Mammalia; Rodentia; Sciuridae
Source: RNAcentral